Molecule: long non-coding RNA, 999 nt
Organism: Oryzias melastigma (Indian medaka)
Lineage: Eukaryota; Metazoa; Chordata; Actinopteri; Beloniformes; Adrianichthyidae
Exons: 2
Source: RefSeq, a predicted model, not a curated record
UUUUGUCGAAGAAGCCCCCGAAUCUCUGUUCUCUCCAAUCUUUAUACCAGAGUGUACGUGACCCAAAGCACAGCACACUCACCGCCUUCAUUGGGACCACAGUCCUUCUUUGGCAAUCAUACCAGAGGAACCUUCGUCAACACCAGGCAUUCCAACACAUCUAUUUCUGUCUUAUCUUUCCUGGAAACCCUUGUUAAACCAUGUAUCUUGGACACUUGGCUGGACACUGAAUUUGAGAAAUGGAGCAGCUCUUUUUCCUACAUAAUCCCCCCUCAAGGUCGCAAAGUGACCUUCAACCAACGAGAACUCUACCGUCACAAGUUGGCAUCAGAACUGCACUGCAAAAAUUUAAAAUUGGUGCAACACAUAACAAAAUAUACUGAGUAAAAUAAUGUAUAUUUAUAACCCUCUAGGUACUUCACGAAGAUAAUACUGCAGUAUCUAUAAGUCUAGCAUAUGAUGCAAUUUUGAAUAUAUCAUUAGAAUAUAUCCAUUAGCUACCGAACACAUUAGUUGGCACUUCUUACUGUGUAUGUUGCUCACACCGGUAAAACAUCUCACAGAAACAAGUUUCCGUCAGUUUGCAGUGAUCAAACACAGUGGUCAAUAUCACACUCCAUUAUAUAUUUUUUUUUUUUUUUUUUUUCUUCACAAACUUUGUUUCAGUCCUGAAAAGUCUUCCAAGCGAUAUUCGCAGCCUCGCAUUCUUCUGAACCCUGAACCUGCAACCAGGUUGCAGGUCGCAGACUCUCUCUUUUGACAGCUCUGCAGUUCCGGACCUGCAGAGGGAGUCCCCUUUCCUUACCCUCCUUGCUUAUAGGGCAAUGACACGUGCGCUCCUACAGCUGCGGAAACCAGCUGUUCUUCAAAGAAUAAAAAGAAAAAGAAAAAUAAUUCCACCGCACUCCACAGGAAAUGAGAGAUACUUCCAACAGCUCCAGAGGUCUUUCAGCUUCUGUCGCAACUCCCACGUUGGGGUCACACACUCACGUCACUCCA